CCUUGCUUGGUCUAGUGGUAAGACACCCAGCUAACCAAACUUCUCUCUCGGGAGGGUUUUCUUCUCUUUAAUAAGGGCACUGGGAGGUCGCUAGUUCGAAUCUAGUAGCAGGGG
This is a non-coding RNA of Fusarium tricinctum, 114 nucleotides long. Lineage: Eukaryota; Fungi; Ascomycota; Sordariomycetes; Hypocreales; Nectriaceae. The record is from the annotation of a GenBank genome assembly.